This 2469-nucleotide ribosomal RNA is filed under the name human oral metagenome. RNAcentral's name for it is "bacterial LSU rRNA". It matches the Rfam family "Bacterial large subunit ribosomal RNA", at positions 322 to 2312 of the family's 2925-position model. The record is from RNAcentral.
GGCGUGGUUAGCAGAACGAGUUGGAAAGCUCAGCCAGAGACUGUGAUAGCCAGGUAUGCGAAAACGACGCUGACCUUAUUCUGUAUUCUCGAGUAGGUCGGGGCACGAGAAACCCUGAUUGAAUCCGGCUGGACCACCAGCCAAGGCUAAAUAUAGUAUAUGAUCGAUAGUGAACUAGUACGGUGACGGAAAGGUGAAAAGAACCCCGGGAGGGGAGUGAAAUAGAACCUGAAAUUUUGUGCCUACAAGGAGUCGGAGCCCAGCACCUUUGAAAUCGAGUGGUACAAUGUAGACAGAUGUUCUACGUGUACGUUUUGCAAAGUGAUCGGGAAUCAGAUCAAAUUUACUUCGGUCAGACCAGUGACUUAAGACGACGUCUCUCGGAGCAUAAUUCCGGUAAGGAUACUUAUACCAAGAUAUAUGCGCCAUGGAAGGUUGUCUAUUAUGAAGCCUAUUUAUCACGUAAGCUGGCAUUAGCCCGUGAGAGGCAGUUGAAAGCUUAUGGACAAGCUAGGACUGCUCUGAAGAAGAGACUAAAUUUGAUCUGAUACUCGAUUUCAAAGGUGCUGGGUGACGGCGUGCUUUUUGUAGAACGAUCCAGCGAGUUAAUUUUUACGGCGAGGUUAAGUCAGAUGAUGAAGCCAUAGUGAAAGCGAGCAUUAACAGUGCGAUUUAGUCGUAAGGAUUAGACCCGAAACCGGGUGACCUAACCAUGAGCAGGUUGAAGCAACCUUAAUCGGUUGUGGAGGACCGAACCAGUGUAUAUUGCAAAAUGCUUGGAUGACUUGUGGUUAGCGGUGAAAUGCCAAUCGAACUUGGAGAUAGCUGGUUCUCCGCGAAAUAGUUAUAGGACUAGCGUCGUGUGAUAGCUUACGGGGGUAGAGCUCUGUCAAGAGAUAGGGGGAGCAAUCCUACCUACUCUUAAUAAACUACGAAUACCGUAUGUCUGUAUCACGGCAGUUAGAACGUCGGUGCUAAGAUCGGCGCUCAAAAGGGAAACAGCCCAGACCAUCAUCUAAGGUCCCCAAAUUUACGCUAAGUGGGAAACAAGGUGGAAUUUCUUAAACAGCUAGGAUGUUGGCUUAGAAGCAGCCAUUCAUUUAAAGAGUGCGUAACAGCUCACUAGUCAAGAGAUUUUGCGUGGAAAAUGUAACGGGGCUAAAGUGUUAAACCGAAGACAUGGACUUCAUAUUUUUAUGGAGUGGUAGAGGAGCGUUGAUAUCGCAGCGAAGUCAGACUGGAAAGUCUGGUGGAGCGUUAUCAAGUGAGAAUGCUGGAAUCAGUAACCUUAAGGCAGGUGAGAAUCCUGCCGGUCGUAAGAGCAAGGUUUCCAGGGCUACAGUAAUUGUCCCUGGGUUAGUCGGUCCUAAGCCGAGGCGUAUCAGCGUAGGCGAUGGACAACAGGUUAAUAUUCCUGUACAGGUAGUAGUUGUUAACAGUUCACGGUGAGUGACCAGAGCGGAUUAAUGGUUUAUCCGUCCAAGUCUUUAGGGAACUAAAGAUGAGUGAAAGGUAAUCUUCGGAUUAUUAAUUCCGGGUGAAGCGCUGGCUAGAAAAGCUGGUUGACUUAUGCUGCUGCCUACCGUACCGCAAACCAACACCGGUGCUCGGGUCGAGUAGACCAAGACCUACGUGAGAACCUUCGCUAAGGAACUCGGCAAAAAAGCGUCCGUAACUUCGGAAUAAGGACUGCCCUCUCAUUAAGAUGAGGAUUUGCUAGAAACUCAGCAGAAGAUUCAGAUUAUGUUACAUAUUUACUAUAAAUUUGUUUUUUUCGAGACCAUAAGCACGGCCGAACGGACUUGAGUGUGUCGAGAAAAACAACAAAUUUUAGUUAUUUACCUUUAACUGAAUUUUUUCGUUGAGACAGAACACAAAUCAGGAUUUGUUUUAACAAAUUCGUGUCUUUUCUAGUAGUCUAAUCGUCAUUUUGAUGAGAGGGCCGCAGCUAAAGAGCCCACGGAACUGUUUACCAAAAACAUAGGUCUCUGCUAACGCGAAAGCGGAUGUAUAGGGGCUGACUCCUGCCCGGUGUCGGAAGGUUAAGGGGAGAGCUUUACGGUUCGAACUGAAGCCCCGAUGAACGGCGGCGAUAACUAUGAUCGUCCUAAGGUAGCGAAAUUCCUUGUCUGGUAAGUUCAGACCCGCACGAAUGGAGUAAUCAUGUGGGCACUGUCUCGGCGAAGGCCACGGUGAACGUGCAUUGGCGGUAAAGAUGCCGUCUGAUCAUGCCAGGACGAGAAGACCCCAUGGAGCUUUACUACAACUUUGCAUUGAUUAUUGGGACAUUUUGUGUAGAAUAGGUGGAAGACUUUGAAGCAGAUACGCUAGUAUUUGUGGAGUCGAAAUGUGAAAUACCACCCUGAAUGUUUUAGUAAUCUCACUUUUGACCUGAUCGGCCAAAAGGACCGUGCAUGGCGGGUAGUUUAACUGGGGCGGUUGCCUCCUAAAGAGUAGCGGAGGCGUUCA